Molecule: ribosomal RNA, 419 nt
Filed under: uncultured bacterium
Lineage: Bacteria
Description: bacterial SSU rRNA
Rfam family: Bacterial small subunit ribosomal RNA
Source: RNAcentral
UAGGGAAUAUUGGUCAAUGGAUGCAAGUCUGAACCAGCCAUGCCGCGUGCAGGAAGAAGGCCUUCUGGGUUGUAAACUGCUUUUGCCAGGGGAUAAAAAUCUCAUGCGUGAGAAAUUGAAGGUACCUGGUGAAUAAGCCACGGCUAACUACGUGCCAGCAGCCGCGGUAAUACGUAGGUGGCAAGCGUUGUCCGGAUUUAUUGGGUUUAAAGGGUGCGUAGGCGGCCUUGUAAGUCAGUGGUGAAAUACUCUAGCUUAACUAGAGGGGUGCCAUUGAUACUGCAGGGCUUGAGUACAGACGAGGUAGGCGGAAUUGACGGUGUAGCGGUGAAAUGCAUAGAUAUCGUCAAGAACUCCGAUAGUGAAGACAGCUUACUAGGCUGUAACUGACGCUGAGGCACGAAAGUGUGGGGAUCAAA